RNAcentral lists this ribosomal RNA (497 nucleotides) under uncultured bacterium. Its description in RNAcentral is "partial 16S ribosomal RNA". It matches the Rfam family "Bacterial small subunit ribosomal RNA", at positions 28 to 507 of the family's 1533-position model. The record is from RNAcentral.
GAUGAACGCUGGCGGCGUGCCUAAUACAUGCAAGUCGAGCGAACAGACGAGGAGCUUGCUCCUCUGACGUUAGCGGCGGACGGGUGAGUAACACGUGGAUAACCUUCCUAUAAUACUGGGAUAACUUCGGGGAACCGGAGCUAAUACUGGCUAAUAUAUUCAACCGCAUGGUUCAAUAGUGAAUGACGGCUUUGCUGUCUCUUAUAGCUGGAUCCGCGUCGCAUUAGCUAGUUGGUAAGGUAACGGCUUACCAAGGCAACGAAGCGUAGCCGACCUGAGAGGAUGAUCGGCCACACUGGAACUGAGACACGGUCCAGACUCCUACGGGAGGCAGCAGUGGGGAAUAUUGGACAAUGGGCGAAAGCCUGACGCAGCCACACCGCGUGGGUGAAGAAGGUCUUCGGGUUGUAAAGCCCUUUUGUUGGGAAAGAAAAGAAGCAGGUUAAUACCCCGCUGUUCUGACGGUACCCAAAGAAAAAGCACCGGCUAACUUCGUG